This 3101-nucleotide long non-coding RNA is filed under the name Homo sapiens (human). RNAcentral describes it as "HSALNT0185726". Lineage: Eukaryota; Metazoa; Chordata; Mammalia; Primates; Hominidae. The record is from RNAcentral.
GAGUGAAUGUGAAGGACUGGGAUAUUAUUGUCCACUACUGUAGACUUUAUAAACACAGUACACUUAGGCUACACUGUUUAUUUUUAAAAUAAAGUAAUUGAGCUACAACAUGACAAUGGCUACAGCGUCACUAGGUGAUAGGAAUUUUUCAGCCCCAUUAUAAUCUUAUGGGACCACCUUCAUACAUACAGUCGGUUUUUGACUGAAACAUCAUUACAUUCAGCACGUGAAUGUAAUUGCGAUGAAGUGAAAGAUAAAGGUUAUAGUUCUAGUGUAUCCACAGUGCUUUAGGAGAUGAACUGUUAGGGAAAGCCAGAAAAAUCUCCACCACGGAAAAAAUAUUUGGCCUGCGUCUUGAAGGAUAAAUAGGAAGUCAGUACUCAGACAGGUGCCAGUGUUUUUCAGCCUGAGGCAGGGAGGUAUGAGAGACAGCUGGAAGGGUUUGAGAAUGGGUGGUGAGAACUUACACUUACUGGGGACUGGAUAUAAGAAUGCAGUAAGACGUGGACCUAGCACCGUGAUUUUUCGACCUGGGCUACACAUCAGAAACACCUAGCGAGCUUUUAAAUCUUCCAGGGCCCAAACCACAUUGUGAACCAAUUAAAUCAGGACGUCUGGGGCUAGAAGCCAGUCAUCAGUAUCUUUUUUUAAGCUCCCAAAGUGAUUCCAAUGUGCUGCCAAGUCUCAGAACCACUAGUCUAGAAAGGAGGGAUAAGGAUUUUCAGCAGCCCCCACAGAACCGGCCCUCCUGGUGACCCUGCAAUCCUGGCACACACACCCCACCCCGCCUGGGAGAAAGACCGGCCACACCACAGUCAUCGGCUGUUUCCUGCUGCUCCUUUCCUCCCACCAGCAUUUUACUCUGAAAUAGUGGUUCUCAAAGUGUGGUCUCCAGACUGUAGCAUCAGCCUCAGGGGGAAAUUCUUAAAAAUGCAAAUUUCCCAGCCGCACCCUGGACGCAUUCACCCAAAAACUCUGGGAGUGGAGCCCAGCAACUGAGCCAUGCUAAGGUUGGUGAGCCGCUGCUCUGGAACAUUGAUCCCUCCCAAACUGCAGCAAAGCAAGCACCUGGGUGUAGCUCUGGCUGUGUAGGUGCUACUACAAUCUGCUGGAGUCACUGCUUGUCGGCAGAGAUGCCGUGGGAGCUGGCCUGGGUGCCUCCACGUUGGCCGUCACCACCAGGCAGUGGCCUUUGGCCUGGAAUCGAAGGUACCAGAGGGCUGAUAGCUCAGUUUUUUUAUGGCACCAAGAAAAGACUUUCAGAUUGGAGCCGGAACCAGCCACGUCCUGAUUCCACACUCCCUUGAGGAGCCAGCCAGCUCCACAUUUACUCAAAGAAUCCGAAGGGCACCAAGUGGAUGCUCUGCCACACGAUUGAAGAGGGCAAGCUGUCUGGGGGGUUUUCCACCUCUUUUCAACUCAACUAUUCUGAGCUGAAGUACUGGACCCGUUUUGUUUUUCCUGUUUUUUCCUGCUUCGGUAAAUCUGGAAAAAUCCUGCAGGUCUGAAAAACUGUUGGACUUGACAGCGUGUGUGUAGCGCCACCUGGUGACCACAGCUUAUCAAAACAGCUUCCUUCUGGGGCUCUUGUGGAUGUACAUCAAAGGCUCCAGCUUCCAGACAGGUACACAUCCUGUUCUCACGCCCGGCCCACUUUCCCGUGGGAAUGUCAGCCACUCUGAUUUGCCUUGGCUGAAAACCUCCUGUCUUUGCAUGGAAAAAAACACAAAUAAUAUGAACAAGCAACAGAGUUUUCUUUCUCUCUUAAGUAACCAAGCAUUUAAAAUCUUCUAAAGCACACAUUUCCCUAAUUGAGAAAGGAAGCAGAAGAAAAAUUUCUGGCUGAAAUUAUAAAUCAUAAUAAAUGGUCGGAAAUACCUUCUCCCUUAGAUUCCUGGGGUCCUAGUGUAGAGGAGACUUCAGUUGCCCUUGACACUACAACAUCCUGACUAAAAGCCUGUUUCCAAGGUGAUAUUUGAUAGACAUGAAGGACCCAGGUGGAAAAGAAGGUAGUCUGGACGGCACGGCAAGGAGUGGAACACGCAGGCUAUGAGGUGUCAGCAGAAAUCAGUUCUGGUCCUGGCACUGCUACCAACUUGCUGUGUGACCUUGGGAAGUUACUUAAGCUUUGUGGAUCUCAAUGCCCCAGACUCGUUAACUUCUUUACUAUUUUUUCCCAUAAAUUCAGUGUUUCUGAAAGAUGUUGCCCACCAGAAUGCAUCUCUAAAAUAGGAGCUUAAUAAGCUUUCUGUCUUGAGGGAUCAGACGUAUAAAUGUCAGGCAGGCCUUCUGAUGAUCAUGAUGCAACCAGAGUUACCACAGUGAGUCCAUAUCACAGACAAAGGCGAAGACACUUGAUCCCUUCUUAACCUGGUCUCCCACCCAUGAAUGAUUUUUGUUAGGAUUUCAGCAUGUUGAAACUAACCCACAGACCCUAGUUACAACUUUCUCAGGGCCUGAGAGCUGGGGAAUCCCAGUUUGGGAACCAAAAAACUAGAAAAUCUUGAGGGCAACUCUGGCUGUCAUGAACUAAAACAGAGCAAAGAUGGAAGCCUGUGGUAUGUGCGUGCAGGUAGAAUCUCGAUUUGAGAAAUGGCGUUACAAGGAAUUAACACUUCAGAAAUGCCAGCUCUGUGCCAGGAUUUUUUUAUUUUAUUAUGUAUAUUUGUCAUGGACAACAUGUUUUGGAAUAUGUAUACAUUGUGGAAUGGUUAAAUAAAGCUAAUUACAUAUGCAUGUGCUCACAAAGUUAUCAUUUUAGGGGUGACUUAAAAUCUCUCAGUGAUUUUCAAAAAUAUAUGUUAUUAAUCAUAGUUGCAAUGUUGUACAAUAGAUCUCUUGAACAUAUAUUCCUCUUGUCUAACUGAAAUUUUAUGUUCUUUGACCAUCUCCCCAACUGCCCCCCAACAAGCCUGAAAGCCCUGGUAACCCCUAUUCUACUCUCUACUUCUUUGAGUUCAACUUUUUAAGAGUCCACAUAUGAGAUCAUGCAGUAUUUGUCUUUCUGUGCCUGACUUAUUUCACUUAGCACAAUGUCCUUUGGGUUCAUCUAUGUCACAAGCAACAGGAUGUCCUCCUUUUUAAAAGACUGAAUAGUAUUC